GUCAUUCACUGUCCUUAUUGCUGUCGAUGUCACUGUUACUUCCGCUGCUGCUGAUCCUGUUGCUAUCUUCCUUGCUGUCUCCAGGUCCAGUUGCAUCGUUGUCCUUUUCGUUCUCCUUCUCCUCUUCCCCUCCUGGGGGAGGUUCUUGAACAGCCUGUGCCAAGUGUCUCUUUUCCAGGUGGAGUUGGCUGUGUCUUCUCCAUCCUCUUCCACUGCUUUCUGGUAGUAGGACUUAAGUUUGCUCAGAAACAUUUUAACACAGUCUGUUUCCUUGAGCUCCAUGUGUCUGUACAUCAAAAGGUUCCUGCAUUGCCACAAGACACUCCUGAUGCAGGACACAAACUGGUUGAAGCGGGUUGUCUGGGACCCCUGCUGUUUAGUCAGAUGUCCGUACAGUGCCACCUCCCUUGUCAUCAGCCCGACCUCUGUCAUCUCUUCAUGCAGCUGGCUUACCUUUUUCCAUACUCCCUUGGCAUUGGGGCAGCUCCAUAGGAGGUGGUCAAUGGUCUUGCUUUCAUUUUGGCAGCUGUCCCUGGGGCAGUUGGGGCUAGUCCCUUGCCCCUCUCUGUAUCUCCAUAUUUUCACUGGGAGUACACAGUAAGCUAUUAGCUAGUUCAAGUCUCUGUGGUCCUUUUGUAGGUCCUUGUGAAAGAUCUGGUCCCAGGUGGCUUGGCAAUUGUCUUCAGGGAGCAGCUCCACAGUCGAUAGCUUGUCUCUGACUCUGAAUGCCUCUUG
Long non-coding RNA from Gavialis gangeticus (Gharial), 735 nucleotides. RefSeq lists it as uncharacterized. The transcript has 3 exons. NCBI's taxonomy places the organism in Eukaryota, Metazoa, Chordata, Crocodylia, Gavialidae. The record is from RefSeq and is a predicted model, not a curated record.